UCCCAGUUAGUACAACGGUCAGUAUACGGCUUUUUCAAGAUUUGGCGCCAAGCGUCAAAUGAGCAGCUGAGAUCGGGGUUCGAUUCCCCGGCCGGGAA
This is a non-coding RNA of Ustilago trichophora, 98 nucleotides long. The record is from the annotation of a GenBank genome assembly. NCBI's taxonomy places the organism in Eukaryota, Fungi, Basidiomycota, Ustilaginomycetes, Ustilaginales, Ustilaginaceae.